This 772-nucleotide ribosomal RNA is filed under the name Aphelenchoides sp. N3. RNAcentral describes it as "bacterial SSU rRNA". It matches the Rfam family "Eukaryotic small subunit ribosomal RNA", at positions 89 to 907 of the family's 1831-position model. Lineage: Eukaryota; Metazoa; Nematoda; Chromadorea; Rhabditida; Aphelenchoididae. The record is from RNAcentral.
GCGAACGGCUCAUUACAACAGAUAUAAUCUACUUGUUCUAUUCUUUAAACGGAUAACUGCGGUAAUUCUGGAGCCAAUACGUGCUAAAAGCCGAAUUCAGCAAUGAGUUGGGUGCACUUAUCGGAGCAAAAUCAAUCUUGAUUCAUGCUAACUCUAGAUAACUAAGCUUAUCGCAUGACCUUGUGUCGGCGAAAUUACAUUCGAGUAUCUGCCUUAUCAACUAUCGUUGGUAGUGUAUUGGACUACCAUGGUGUUGACGGGUAACGGAGAAUCAGGGUUCGACUCCGGAGAGGGAGCCUUAGAAACGGCUACCAUGUCUAAGGACAGCAGCAGGCGCGCAACUUAUCCACUGUUCAUUGAACGAGAUAGUGACGAGAAAUAACAAGCUCGUUCUCUUUGAGGUCGAGCAUUGGAAUGGAUGAAAUCUAAACAAUUUCAUGAGUACCCACGAGAGGGCAAGUCUGGUGCCAGCAGCCGCGGUAAUUCCAGCUCUCGUAAUGUAUAGAAUUAUUGUUGCGGUUAAAAAGUUCGUAGUUGGAUUUAUACUGCAAGCAGGUAAUUUUUAACGAAAUUCACUUGCUACAGUGUUGCAUGUAAAGGGCUUGCUCUUCGCAUGUAGAUUACUUUGAACGGCUUAAGUGCUCAAGGCGAGUCUUCGGACUGAAUACCGGUGCAUGGAAUAAUGGAACAAGGUUUCGGCCGAGUUUUAUUGGUUUGUCGGCUAAAACAACGGUUAACAGGAACAGCUGGGGGCACUCGUAUUGCUGCGCGA